GAAGAAUAAUUUCGUCGAACACCUGAUUGGUUUGGUGUUGAUUAAUUUGGGCUCGUUCGACAUUGCAGCCGACAGUGCAGGUGGCUGCUGACUCAUUUACAAAUCACCUUGCAUCAUAAAUAACUACUCAUUAUUAUUUAUAAAUCAGUCAGCCAGUCACCGUUUACCCACAAUGCAGCAUAGACUUGAUGCUCUCGAUCAAGGCCCGUGGUUUCGUAGAAGACAUGAAGGCUACGCUGCUACGGGGCAGUCAAGAAAUGGAACGGCAAGGCCACAGAACAUGACAUAAGCAGAGCUGUGGGAGACCACCUCAAGCCCCUGGUAGAGCAGGGGGUGGUGUUUACCACUCCACCACACCUUCAGCAGGCUGGAAAAUUAACCCUGAUAUUUUAAAAGCAGGGCAACAACGUCAAUAUAAUUGUACCCAAAAAUUGUCAGUUGGUUGCAUAAAUAAUUAUGAUUACUAAAUGUUACAUGAAAUGUAAAUAUUAAAUAUUCGGUUACAGUC
This is a long non-coding RNA of Oncorhynchus nerka (sockeye salmon), 508 nucleotides long. RefSeq lists it as uncharacterized. The record is from RefSeq and is a predicted model, not a curated record. The transcript is spliced from 2 exons. Lineage: Eukaryota; Metazoa; Chordata; Actinopteri; Salmoniformes; Salmonidae.